Unclassified non-coding RNA from Cercocebus atys (sooty mangabey), 101 nucleotides. It matches the Rfam family "Y RNA". Rfam says of the family: Y RNAs are components of the Ro ribonucleoprotein particle (Ro RNP), in association with Ro60 and La proteins. The Y RNAs and Ro60 and La proteins are well conserved, but the function of the Ro RNP is not known. Lineage: Eukaryota; Metazoa; Chordata; Mammalia; Primates; Cercopithecidae. The record is from Ensembl.
GGCUGCUCUGAGUGCAGUCGUGUUUACUACUAACUGCUCACACCAGUUAUAGAUUUCUUUGUUCCUUUUCCACUUCCACUGCUUCACUUGACUAGCCUUAA